CGCGUAGGCGGCUAUUUAAGUCGGAUGUGAAAGCCCCCGGGCUCAACCUGGGAACUGCAUCCGAUACUGGGUAGCUAGAAUGCAGUAGAGGGAGGUGGAAUUUCCGGUGUAGCGGUGAAAUGCGUAGAGAUCGGAAGGAACACCAGUGGCGAGGCGGCCUCCUGGACUGACAUUGACGCUGAGGUGCGAAAGCGGUGGGGAUCAAACA
This 208-nucleotide ribosomal RNA is filed under the name uncultured bacterium. RNAcentral's name for it is "partial 16S ribosomal RNA". It matches the Rfam family "Bacterial small subunit ribosomal RNA", at positions 568 to 774 of the family's 1533-position model. The record is from RNAcentral.